Molecule: long non-coding RNA, 1158 nt
Filed under: Apteryx rowi (Okarito brown kiwi)
Lineage: Eukaryota; Metazoa; Chordata; Aves; Apterygiformes; Apterygidae
Description: lncRNA (ENSARWG00000004822.1)
Source: RNAcentral
AUGGAGGAGUUAGUUCCUGCACUGCUGGCUAUUUCAAUUAGGUUGUUCUUAUUUUCCCCUUAUUUAUUCUGGGGUUCACUGCAUAUGUACAAAAUGCUGUUGAUUUUUUUUUUUCCUCAACUUUCUCCUGAACGUGGUAUAGGGGUCCACCCUGUGAGGCAUCAGAACUAUUUGUCCACUUCCAAGGUGCACAGAAUGUUAACAUCCACAGAACAGUCCUUGCUGGUCUUUCCCAAGCACCAUACAACACUAUCUCCCUAUUUCACAGCGAAAAAGGGAUUGCAUUGAGCACUGGAACCUGCUGAACUUCCUCGGUUUGAGAGAGACACUGGAGAGAAGAGUUCAGGUUCCAUGUGUUUUAAAUAUAACUUUAAAGCAAUGCAGCUACUCUGUCAGAUCAGCACCAUUUUCUACCUUUCCCUCCAUUUAGAUGGGAAUAUAAAAGUAAACCCAGCAAUAUGUGAUCCAGUUGAUGUGCUUGCAGGUGGAACAUGGGGUUUUUGAAACUUGAGGACUGAGAAUUUCUCUUGCAUGGAAUAACUCAGUGUGGGUACAAAAGUUUGGAUCUGUGAUUACAGCUCUUCUGUCAGCUUGCUAAUGCAAGCAAGUACUUCGAACUCUUCUGAAGACUGCAGUAGAAGAGCUGUCAAGGUGUAGGCUGGAACUUAUCAUUUUAGGUCAUCUGUGUGUUGCUUGACUACAUGGACAAUGUAUCAGUGAUUUUUACAGAUUGAUAUCCAUGUGUCAGUCACAAAUAACUCUUAAUUUGCUGUUUGCGGUGAAACUGUUAAUAGAUACAUUUCCAGAUCAAAUUAAGAGCCUAAUUUUCCAUCUUGCAUUAACCGGGUUACUGUGUUCACAUGCCAGAAAGAUGUUGCUCUUUGAAAAAGCAUGUUAGUGUGUGUGGCAAUGACCCAUGCACUUUUUAAAUACCUAGAUCUUGUACAUUCUCACCUGAGUAUUGUUAACCAUGCUGUAGUCUGACAAAUGGAUCUUUUACUACUGCCCUGUUAUAUAGAAUAAUUGUAAUUAACUGCAGUUUGUUUUUCCACUACUUGAAGUUGUGUGAUCUGAAAAUUGGUGAACAAAAAGUAUUUGUGCAUCUUACUAUGGGUAUCUCUAAAUAAAAUGUAUUUGUAUAGUGUUUUGGCUGAUGAU